Molecule: ribosomal RNA, 468 nt
Filed under: uncultured bacterium
Lineage: Bacteria
Description: partial 16S ribosomal RNA
Rfam family: Bacterial small subunit ribosomal RNA
Source: RNAcentral
GACGAACGCUGGCGGCGUGCUUAACACAUGCAAGUCGAACGGAAAGGCCCUGCUUUUGUGGGGUGCUCGAGUGGCGAACGGGUGAGUAACACGUGAGUAACCUGCCCUUGACUUUGGGAUAACUUCAGGAAACUGGGGCUAAUACCGGAUAGGAGCUCCUGCUGCAUGGUGGGGGUUGGAAAGUUUCGGCGGUUGGGGAUGGACUCGCGGCUUAUCAGCUUGUUGGUGGGGUAGUGGCUUACCAAGGCUUUGACGGGUAGCCGGCCUGAGAGGGUGACCGGCCACAGUGGGAAUGAGAUACGGCCCAGACUCCUACGGGAGGCAGCAGUGGGGAAUAUUGCACAAUGGGCGGAAGCCUGAUGCAGCAACGCCGCGUGCGGGAUGAAGGACUUCGGGUUGUAAACCGCUUUCGCCUGUGACGAAGCGUGAGUGACGGUAAUGGGUAAAGAAGCACCGGCUAACUACGUG